This 434-nucleotide ribosomal RNA is filed under the name uncultured eukaryote. RNAcentral describes it as "SSU rRNA". It matches the Rfam family "Eukaryotic small subunit ribosomal RNA", at positions 567 to 990 of the family's 1831-position model. The record is from RNAcentral.
CCAGCAGCUGCGGUAAUUCCAGCUCCAAUAGCGUAUAUUAAAGUUGUUGCAGUUAAAAAGCUCGUAGUUGGAUUUCUGGUCGUGUGCGGGAUGUCCGUGUCCCAGAUGGGAUGUGUGUACGCCUCGUACCGAUCAAUUCUUCUGGAGGUCCGCAGUGCUCUUCACUGAGUUGCUGUUGGUUACGUCCAGAUCAUUUACUUUGAGAAAAUUAGAGUGUUCAAAACAGGCAUGAGUUGCCGUGUAUACGUUAGCAUGGAAUAAUAAGAUAGGACUUCGGUCGUAUUUUGUUGGUUUCUACAGCCGAAGUAAUGAUUGAUAGGGAUAGUUGGGGGUGCUAGUAUUCUGCGGCCAGAGGUGAAAUUCUGUGAUUCGCGGAGGACUGACUUAUGCGAAAGCAUUCACCAAGGAUGUCUUCUUUAAUCAAGAACGAAAGU